This 253-nucleotide ribosomal RNA is filed under the name uncultured Pseudomonas sp. RNAcentral's name for it is "partial 16S ribosomal RNA". It matches the Rfam family "Bacterial small subunit ribosomal RNA", at positions 1132 to 1382 of the family's 1533-position model. Lineage: Bacteria; Pseudomonadati; Pseudomonadota; Gammaproteobacteria; Pseudomonadales; Pseudomonadaceae. The record is from RNAcentral.
UGGGCACUACGUAAGGAGACUGGCCGGUGAACAACCGGAGGAAGGUGGGAUGACGUCAAGUCAUCAUGGCCCUUACGGCCUGGGCUACACACGUGCUACAAUGGUCGGUACAAAGGGUUGCCAAGCCGCGAGGUGGAGCUAAUCCCAUAAAACCGAUCGUAGUCCGGAUCGCAGUCUGCAACUCGACUGCGUGAAGUCGGAAUCGCUAGUAAUCGUGAAUCAGAAUGUCACGGUGAAUACGUUCCCGGGCCUU